ACAGGACCAACCAGAGAAAGUUGGAGUGCUGGUGGAAGGAAGUUCCAGGCAUUUUCUUAUCUCUUUUUUGUUCUUCAUUUAGAUAAAAUCAACUUAGCAGAAAAGUUGACUCUGUUGUUAAAUUUUGCAAUGAACGAGUGGGAAACAUUCUUCCGAUUUCGACUUUCUUCAGAUGAUGCCAGAGCCUUGAAACAAUCGCUGGCUCCACUGUUUCCUUUCACACUGAAAUUGCUCAUCCCCAGCAUGAAGUUUAUGCUUCAUUAUGUGUUUCUCUGCAGUGCAAAUUUCACAUCAGGACGUGCCAUCAGAGGUGGGAUCGGUGAGGAGCCCACGGCCGGGGAGGACCGAUGUGAGUGCGUGCCAAGGGCCGCCGGCUGCUGACCCCCCUGCUUUGGAGAAGCUCAGGGCGCCAUGCCCGCUUCGAGGGGUGGCUCCUUGUGCACCUGGACCUGAGGCCGGGGAUCCCACCCUCAGAGGGCCUGCCUCCCUCCAGGUGCCUGGUUCUGGGGUCCCUCCCUCUCUGGGUGCAGGUGGGGGAUGGAGAAGGGAGAGGAGGCAGGAAGGAGAGCCAGAGGUGAGGAGCGCCGAGCGGCGGCCAUGAGGGCAGAGCCUGGGGUGCUGGCCAUGCCCACCCUGGUUUCCUUCCUUCCUCGCUUCCACCUGCACCUUUCCGGUGAUACCUCCCGAGCAUCACAGCAACCUUGAAUAACACACCUGCUGAGGUGCUUUUAAGGAAAAGCACCUGCCGCUUCUGAGCACACCCACACACCUCACCCCACGUCCGAGCCCACAGCCUGGGAAGGGCUGCCCCGCCUUCACUUUCCUGCAGAGCUGGCCCGCCUCCUGCUCUGCACCCCACAGCACCCAGCACCUCUUUUUGACCGAUUACCAUGUCUGCGCCCACGGGAGAGGCAGGCGUGCGAUAUUUAGGAGCCGGACUGCCAGCUUCAAAUCCUCUGUGAUCUCAG
RNAcentral lists this long non-coding RNA (968 nucleotides) under Equus asinus (donkey). RNAcentral describes it as "lncRNA (ENSEASG00005037957.1)". Lineage: Eukaryota; Metazoa; Chordata; Mammalia; Perissodactyla; Equidae. The record is from RNAcentral.